AUACGAAGUCGGACCUGCCCAGUGAGUUUUAAACGGCCGCGGUACUCUGACCGUGCAAAGGUAGCAUAAUCAUUUGCCUUAUAAUUGAAGGCUGGAAUGAAUGGUUUGACAAGAAUGUAUCUGUCUCCUUUAGAUUGUUUAGAAUUUUAUUUCUGGAUGAAAAAGUUCAGAUUUAAUUAAAAGACAAGAAGACCCUAUCGAGCUUUAGAAAAAUUAAUGGACUUAAUAUAAUUAAUAUUGAUAAAAGAAAAGCUAUUAAAUACUUUGAUUGGGGCAAUCGAGGAGCAACUAAAACCUCCUUUAGUGGUAGUGGCUCACCUGUGUUGAUCCAAGAAUUUUGAUUAAAGGAAUUAGUUACCGUAGGGAUAACAGCAUUAUCUUUUUUAAGAGCCCAUAUCGAAAAAAAGGUUUGUGACCUCGAUGUUGGACCAGAAUAUCCUAAAGAUGCAGAAGUCUUUAAGGGUUGGUCUGUUCGACCAUUAAAAU
This 486-nucleotide ribosomal RNA is filed under the name Conus sanguinolentus. Its description in RNAcentral is "partial 16S ribosomal RNA". It matches the Rfam family "Bacterial large subunit ribosomal RNA", at positions 1845 to 2594 of the family's 2925-position model. Lineage: Eukaryota; Metazoa; Mollusca; Gastropoda; Neogastropoda; Conidae. The record is from RNAcentral.